RNAcentral lists this ribosomal RNA (460 nucleotides) under uncultured bacterium. RNAcentral's name for it is "partial 16S ribosomal RNA". It matches the Rfam family "Bacterial small subunit ribosomal RNA", at positions 338 to 795 of the family's 1533-position model. The record is from RNAcentral.
CCUACGGGAGGCUGCCGUGAGGAAUAUUGGUCAAUGGGCGCAAGCCUGAACCAGCCAAGUCGCGUGAGGGAUGACGGUCCUAUGGAUUGUAAACCUCUUUUGUCGGGGAGCACGGCCCGCCACGUGUGGCGGGAAGGAGAGUACCCGAAGAAAAAGCCUAGGCUAACUCCGUGCCAGCAGCCGCGGUAAUACGGAGGAUGCGAGCGUUACCCGUAUUUAUUGGGUUUAAGGGGUGCGUAGGCGGAAGGUUAAGUCAGCGGUAAAAUGUCGGUGCUCAACACCGGCCUGCCGUUGAAACUGGUCUUCUUGAGUGAGCGAGAAGUAUGCGGAAUGCGUGGUGUAGCGGUGAAAUGCAUAGAUAUCACGCAGAACUCCGAUUGCGAAGGCAGCAUACCGGCGCUCAACUGACGCUGAGGCACGAAAGCGUGGGGAUCGAACAGGAUUAGAUACCCGUGUAGUC